Molecule: ribosomal RNA, 200 nt
Filed under: uncultured bacterium
Lineage: Bacteria
Description: partial 16S ribosomal RNA
Rfam family: Bacterial small subunit ribosomal RNA
Source: RNAcentral
UACGAAGGGGGGCUAGCGUUGCUCGGAAUCACUGGGCGUAAAGGGGCGCGUAGGCGGUCGUGACAAGUCACUUGUGAAAUCUCCGGGCUUAACUCGGAACGGUCAAGUGAUACUGUCGGACUAGAGUACAGAAGGGGGCAACUGGAAUUCUUGGUGUAGCGGUGAAAAUGCGCAGAUAUCAGGGAGGGAAACACCCUAUU